Molecule: ribosomal RNA, 1408 nt
Filed under: uncultured archaeon
Lineage: Archaea
Description: 16S ribosomal RNA
Rfam family: Archaeal small subunit ribosomal RNA
Source: RNAcentral
ACCCCACUGCUAUUGGGAUGGGACUAAGACAUGUUAGUCGAGCGUCUCUAAGCUAUGAUGGAGACGCGGCGCACAGCUCAGUAACACGUGGCUAACCUGCCCUUGGGACAGGGAUAACCCCGGGAAACUGGGGCUAAUACUUGAUAGGUGAGAACUCCUGGAAUGGAUUCUCGCUGAAAGGGCGUCUAGAUCAUGCUUUUAGGCGUCGUCCAAGGAGGGGGCCGCGGCCGAUCAGGUUGUUGGUGAGGUAACGGCCCACCAAGCCUUUAACCGGUACGGGCCGUGAGAGCGGUAGCCCGGAGAUGGGUACUGAGACAAGGGCCCAGGCCCUAUGGGGCGCAGCAGUCGCGAAAACUCACCAAUUCACGAAAGUGUGAGUGGGCCAUGCGGGAGUGCCGUCCGCUGAGGAUGGCUUUUCCUUAGUGUACAAAGCUGGGGGAAUAAGGAGAGGGCAAGUCUGGUGUCAGCCGCCGCGGUAAUACCAGCUCUCCGAGUGGUGGGGAUGUUUAUUGGGCCUAAAGCAUUCGUAGCCUGCUGGACAAGUCCUCCGUUAAAUCCAACGAUUCAAUCGUUGGGCCGCGGGGGAUACUGUUCGGCUAGGGGGCGGAAGAGGUCGACGGUAUUUUCGGGGUAGGGGUGAAAUCCUAUAAUCCCGGGAGGACCACCAGUGGCGAAAGCUGUCGGCUAGAACGCGCCCGACGGUGAGGGAUGAAAGCUGGGGGAGCGAACCGGAUUAGAUACCCGGGUAGUCCCAGCCGUAAACGAUGCAGCUAGUGUCGGCGCGGUUACGUGCCGCUCAGUGCGCAGGAAGCCGUUAAGCCUGCCGCUGGGAGUACGCCGCAGCUGAACUUAAAGGAAUUGGCGGGGGAGCACACAAGGGUGAGCUUGCGGUUAUUGGAGUCAAUGCCGGAAAUCUCACCGGGGGCGACAGCAGGUUGAAGGUCAGAUUGAAGGUCUUACCAGACAAGCUGAGAGGAGGUGCAUGGCCGUCGCCAGUUCGUGCCGUGAGGUGUCCUGUUAAGUCAGGCAACGAUGGGGACCCGCAUCCCCCCUUGCCACCGGCCAUGAGCCGAGCACACUGAGGAAACUGCCGCCGAUAAGGCGGAGGAAGGAGCGGGCCACGGCAGGUCAGUAUGCCCCGAAUCCCCCGGGCUACACGCGAGCUGCAAUGGCAGGUACAGAGGGUACCGACCCUGAAAAGGGAAGGAAAUCCCGAAAGCCUGCCGUAGUUGGGAUCGAAGGUUGUAACUCACCUUCGUGAACAUGGAAUCCCUAGUAACCGCGUGUCAUUAUCGCGCGGUGAAUACGUCCCUGCUCCUUGCACACACCGCCCGUCGUUCCAGCCAAGCGAUGCUUGGGUGAGGCGUGGUCCUUUGGGCUGCGUCGAAUCCGGGUUUCGUGAGGGGGG